CUCAAAUAAAAGAGGAAAGAGAAGGGGAGUAGAGAUCUCGAUUCUUAAUCCUUACCCCCACCGCCUCCCGCCGGAAACCCUACCUGCCGGUAGCCCUACCGCCGGAAACCCUACCUGCCGUUAGCCCUACCGCCGGUAACCCUACCGCCGGAAAUCCUACCCGCCGGUAGCCGCAACAACACCUCUAUUGCUUCUCCCUUCUUUGUCUUCAUUCAAUCCACAAUUCAACUUGAAGAUUCUAUAGAGCAUCAACUUGAAGAUCCACACAAAUUACAACUGAAUUCUGUUCCUAUCUCUAUUUAGGAACCUUAAAACAAACAAUUCUCUCUCGGCCCACUGGAUCAGUGAAGAAAACUUCGGGAACAAAUAGAGAACAUACCUAGGGAAGAUUUAAGAAGCAGAUCAGCUGUAACUCCAGCUGAAGACUAACGCCUACUGUUUGUCUUUUCUUUUUCCGAUCAAUGAACCCCUAUUAGGCUGUUGAGAUCAUCAGACAUCCAGGACUGCUCAAUUCGUUGAACUCAAAAUGGAUUCUGUGACCAUAACUUUGCCAGAUGCUUGUUCUCUCUCCACUUCAGCCCUCACAUUCCUUGAUAAUAAUUUCAACUCUGCCGAUGACCUUCAAGUAGCUUUGAGUCUUGAGUCAGAAUUACAAACUAAAUGCCAAGAGUUGGACCAAUCUCUUCUAGAUCUGAAUCGUCGGCUUGAGGCGAGUCUUCUUGCCUACGCUUCCUAUUCUGAUGAAAUCGGUGCUCGUUUUACAGAUAUCAACAGUAAACUCGGCGAUCUCCGUUCAAUUACUCGCAUUCCUGAUUGUAUUUCAGGUGGAAAAGAAGAAAAGGGUUCGGGGAGCUCAGAUCAUGUAUGGGGAGAGGAGCUACCAUCACUUGCAAAGGAGGUAGCAAGAGUUGAGACAGUUCGAACAUAUGCAGAGAUGGCAUUGAAGUUGGACACUUUGGUUGGUGAUAUUGAAGAUGCUGUAUCUUCCACAGUAAAGAGAAAUCUUAGAAAGCAGCCUUCACAGGAUUCUGAAGACUCACGCCAUGUUGCCAUUAAAGCACUUAAACUGGCAGAAGAUAUUUUAACUACAGUUACAAAAACUCGACCACAGUGGAAACAUCUAGUUUCAGCCGUUGAUCAUAGAGUAGACCGAUCAUUAGCCAUUUUGAGACCACAAGCAAUUGCAGAUCAUAGGUCCAUGCUUGCUUCCCUUGGCUGGCCACCACCUUUUUCAGAUUCAAAUGCCGAAAAGAAAGUGCAAAAUCCUCUUUUCAGCAUGCGAGGGGAGAUCAAGCAUCAGUAUUGUGAAAGCUUUAUUGGAUUAUGCAGCCUUCAAGAAUUACAGAAAAGAAGAAAGUCACGUCAACUUGAGGGGCAUUUCAGGGAAGUUGCUAUACAACAGCAACAACAACCUCUUUGGACAAUAGAAGAAUUGGUUAAUCCCAUUUCAGUUGCAUUCCAACGUCAUUUCUCUAAAUGGAUUGAUAAGCCAGAAUUUAUCUUUGCUCUCCUGUAUAAGGUGACCCAAGAUUACGUUGACUCCAUCGAAGAAACAUUACAACCACUUGUUGAUGAAGCAAACCUUUCAGGUUACAGUUGCAGAGAAGAAUGGAUAUCAGCCAUGAUAUCCUCCUUAUCAAUGUUCUUGGCAAAAGAGAUAUUCCCAGUCCAUAUAAAUGAACUCAAUGGAGAAAGUAGUUCUUCUGUUACUCAAUCACAAGCCAGAUCAUCAUUGCUUCACCUUAUCGAUUUAAUGAUCGCCCUUGAUAAAAAGAUGAUAUCUCUGGUUGCACAAUCAGGAAUCUCGUUUGAUGGAAACCAGCAGAGAAUUUCUUCUCUAUCUGUGUUUCAAGAUAGACCUGACUGGCUUGAUUUAUGGGCUGAAUUAGAGCUGAGCGAUGCUCUCGAUAAACUAAGACUGGCAAUCGACGACGAGAGAAAUUGGUCUUCGAAAAGUCAAACGGGUCCACAAAGUUACAAAUCGCCUGCAAUUUCCGGUGCAUUUUUGAAGCAGCUAUCGUAUGUUGUCGAACGAUGUCGAUCACUCCCAACUAUUGAUCUUAGAUCAAGGUUUCUUUUGCUCACUUGUGUCCCCAUUAUUAAAUUUGUUUUGGAGAGAUUGAUUCUCAGGUGCCAAGAUGCAGAAGGUCUGACAGCUCUUACAGAAGAUGACGCUUUAAUCAAAGUUAUAAAUUCGAUUAAUUGUUCUCGCCACUUCGAGUCUGUGCUAAAAGAAUGGUCCGAAGAUAUCUUCUUCUUGGAGAUGGAACUGAACCAUGACGACGAAAAACCCCAGAAGGGUAUUUUUGGUAAGGUGAUAAAAAAACUAGAGAAGUUCGAAACAGAGUGGGUUAAUAAGUUAUCAACCGUUGUCUUGAGAGGCUUCGAGGUUCAAUGUCGAGAUUACUUUAAGAACAAGAAACACUGGCUGGAAAUAGGCGAGGAAGGAUCAUCAAUGGUGUCGAGAAACUUAGUAGGGGCCUUAGAUUAUUUGCAAGGGAAAAUGUCUGUAAUUGAAGACGGGUUGAAUACUGUGGAUUUCGUUGGUGUAUGGAGAAGUGUGGCGGUUGGUGCUGAUAGUUUGAUCUUUAUCGGAAUGGUUAUGAGUAAUGUGAAGAUUAACGAUGGGGGUGUAGAGAGAUUUGGUGGUGACUUGGCGGUUUUGUUUGGGUUAUUUGGAGGUUGGUGUUUGAGACCUGAGGGGUUUUUCCCGAAGCUUAACGAUGGGAUGAAGGUUUUGAAGAUGGAGGAAAAGAAACUGAAACAAGUUGUUAGGGAUGGUGAGAGGAAGUUGAAGGAAAAUGGGAUUCGGCAUUUAAGUGUCAAUGAAGUGGAGAAGAUUGGAAAGAGCAGAGUAUAUUGAAGGCUCCUAAUUUGACACCUUGAGUGGCCCUCUCAGCCAUGACACUAAUUUAUCAGGUCUAGAUUUCAAUUGACUAUCAAGAUAACAGUACUAUUGUCUCAAGUUGAUAUUAAUUAGAAGAAUGUUUGAAAUAUUUCUGUAAAAUCAUUUCAAUUAUCUCAAUGGGCAUUUAUCCAGUGCAAGAUGUUUCUUUCUUUUUUUAUAAUACCAUCAUUGCAAUUGCAAGAGAGAUUUAUCCACUAUUUGAAGAGUAAAACAUGGCUUUUAGUGGCAAAAGUAGAUAUGGUUAAAGUGUUUGAUCUUCUCUUAAACAUUCUAAGAUAUGAUUUGUUCACCUUAUUUAUGUGUGUAUCUAUUACAU
This is an RNA transcript of Impatiens glandulifera, 3224 nucleotides long. It is a transcript of the gene named RINT1-like protein MAG2, with no coding region annotated. The transcript is spliced from 7 exons. NCBI's taxonomy places the organism in Eukaryota, Viridiplantae, Streptophyta, Magnoliopsida, Ericales, Balsaminaceae. The record is from RefSeq and is a predicted model, not a curated record.